GUUGCACCCAAACCCUGAGGUCCGGUCGUGUCCGUGUCCUGACCUCCUCUGGUUGUGCAGACACCAACUGAACCUUGUCGCCUUUCUCUGCUGCUGCUGUGCCUCUGAAAGUGAAUCCAAGGUUCUACAGGU
Molecule: small nucleolar RNA, 132 nt
Organism: Scophthalmus maximus (turbot)
Lineage: Eukaryota; Metazoa; Chordata; Actinopteri; Pleuronectiformes; Scophthalmidae
Source: Ensembl